UAGAUUAGAAAAGGAGGUUUGAGUUAGCCUCUGAAAAGCCUGAAAGUUCGGGUAGCUACAUCCCCAUUUGCUGAAGGUUCAUCUUACUAUAAGGGAGGGGAGUUCUACAGGGAUGUUAAAGAGUGGAAGGUUUCUUGCUCCCAGCCCAACCAGCCUGGGAUGGUUUUUAGUUUGUAGAAUUUUCCAUCUAACACAAUUUCCCAAUACACUGGAUCCUCAUACUCAACCAACACACUCCCUGUUGCUUUUAAUCCACAGGCCACAACAAAUCAUAAUCAUGCUUUUAAAAGCAAGAGGGUAAGUUUACCCAUAACCAUACCAAUAGGUAUAGAACAUAUGCCAGCACUGUCUUAUUUUCUACUUCUGAGGCUUUUCCUCUUUAAUUAUGAAUUUAUGACAGUUUAAUUGAUAACUAAAUUGCCUGGAAGUCUGAUAUCAAGAUAAGUAAGGUUUUAUUUUAAUCAUAAAAUAAUUCCUUUCAAAUUUACCAUCUGAAAAGCAUGCAGGUCUUAUCCCUUGGGAGCUAAUUAUGGUACCUUCAUGAUGAUGAGAAUGGCAGCUCAGCUUGACCCAGGAAACAGAUCAUGCCCUAGAAUUUUAUUUGAUAUUUGACAAAGUAAACACGUACUGGAGGGGAGAAUAUAACUGUAACCAAGAAAGGAGAUUUUACUAUGUUUGUGCAGUGGAGGACAUUGGAGAGCAGAGAAAGAAGAGGAAAAUGGAGGGAAGAAUUGAGAAAACAUUUUGGAAUGUUGUAUGCAUGGUCAAAAGAGGUCAAAAAUUAACCCAGAUGGUGCAUCAGAAUGGCAUUACCACUAGCUCUCUCAAGCCCUCCACCCCCACCCCCCCUUCAAACCCAAAUCUCUUCUCUUAAGAAUAAUGAAAAUGUUAUACUGAUGACAUGGAUGAAUACUAAUCCAUGUGAAAUAUCAAUUUUGUAAAGAUAAUUUAGAAAUAAAAAUUAUUCUAUCCAAAUUCCUCAUUCCUGUGGCUAGUCAAACUUUCCCUAGAUUUAAAUAAUAGCAAAGGAGAGAGCAAUAUUCAUAGUUGACUUUGUCAUUGUGGGAACACAAGCAACCUCAGCCUGAAGGAUGCUGAGACUUCAGAGGCAAGCAGGCAAAGAAAGGAGCAUAUGUUAGGACAAGCUGGCAUAAGAGAACUGGAGAGAAAUGUAAACCAGGCUACUUGUGGUUGUCUUUGCAAAGGCAUUUAGAUUUUAAGUCGUUUUUUAUUGCAGCUAGCAUCCAAUUACAGUGACGUGGCCAUGGGAGCUUAAGGACCAAGCACUGCCACUUUAUUUUUUUAUUGUUGCCUAUGUGUUA
Molecule: long non-coding RNA, 1322 nt
Organism: Herpailurus yagouaroundi (jaguarundi)
Lineage: Eukaryota; Metazoa; Chordata; Mammalia; Carnivora; Felidae
Exons: 3
Source: RefSeq, a predicted model, not a curated record